This 253-nucleotide ribosomal RNA is filed under the name uncultured bacterium. RNAcentral's name for it is "partial 16S ribosomal RNA". It matches the Rfam family "Bacterial small subunit ribosomal RNA", at positions 524 to 776 of the family's 1533-position model. The record is from RNAcentral.
GACGAAGGUGGCGAGCGUUACUCGGAAUUACUAGGCGUAAAGCGUGGGCAGGCGGUUCGAUCAGUCUGUUGUGAAAGCUCCGGGCUCAACCCGGAGAGGCCAAUGGAUACUGUCGGACUUGGAUAUAGGAGAGGUGACUGGAAUUCCUGGUGUAGCGGUGAAAUGCGUAGAUAUCAGGAGGAACACCGAUGGCGAAAGCAGGUCACUGGACUAUCAUCGACGCUCAUCCACGAAAGCUGGGGGAUCAAACAGG